UACAGAGGUCCCAAGCGUUGUUCGGAUUCACUGGGCGUAAAGGGUGCGUAGGCGGUUUGAUAAGUCUGAUGUGAAAUCCCGCAGCUUAACUGCGGAACUGCAUUGGAAACUGUUUGACUAGAGGAAUGGAGGGGAGACUGGAAUACUUGGUGUAGCAGUGAAAUGCGUAGAUAUCGGGAGGAACACCUGUGGCGAAAGCGGCGCACUGGACCAUAACUGACGCUGAGGCGCGAAAGCUAGGGGAGCAAACAGG
This 253-nucleotide ribosomal RNA is filed under the name uncultured bacterium. RNAcentral describes it as "partial 16S ribosomal RNA". It matches the Rfam family "Bacterial small subunit ribosomal RNA", at positions 524 to 776 of the family's 1533-position model. The record is from RNAcentral.